AACCCUCCCUCAUCAUUAAGCGGACAUUUCUAUACAGGGGCCUACAUAGAGCUCGGGAGUCGAGGCGCUAUACAAUUGGAAGGGGGAAAGAAUCCCUACAGAUUCUGGCUACUCCUUAGGAAGUGCUGAAGGGCCAUGUGGAACCAGUUUCUGCAAGGUCAAAAAGAAAGAAGGCUGUUUUCAUCCUAGGAGAGAAAAAAAACAACAGAAGUGAACUGUAUAUUCUUUAAAAACCAACUGACAUCCAUGAAGGAGGAGACCUUUUCUGAAGCAUCGGAAAGAAACAGGGUCUCACCUGGCUUGCCACAUCUCUUCAUUUGCUACUAACUCCCAGGAAGAUGAGUCAAACCUUAAAAAAGAUACAGCCUGCUUUGGAGAAGAAGUGAACCACAUUUAAAGGCAAGGUAAUUCCUGCUUUCCAUCACUGCAACAUUCAAAGAAGACUGACAGCUGUUGAACUUGCCUUCUGUUUUUUGCCAGCUCCCUCCUCUCUCAGAAGCAAGAAACUAGCCCAGAGGCUACUUUCAGUUAUUCAGUACUACAGGACCCAGUUAGUUGCACAAUAAUGAUCUUGUAACAAGAAGCACAUUCAUAAAUCAGGAAAACACUAUUCACCAAUCACCCAGAACAGAUGCAAUAUGUGAGGAUAGAAAUCGGCAAUAGAGACAGUAUUAUCCUAUACUGAUCUCUAUUCAGUUGUCAUUAAAGGUGCUAAGACACUGUGA
Molecule: non-coding RNA, 725 nt
Organism: Pantherophis guttatus
Lineage: Eukaryota; Metazoa; Chordata; Lepidosauria; Squamata; Colubridae
Source: RefSeq, a predicted model, not a curated record